This is a long non-coding RNA of Lagopus muta (rock ptarmigan), 2048 nucleotides long. RefSeq lists it as uncharacterized. The record is from RefSeq and is a predicted model, not a curated record. The transcript has 4 exons. NCBI's taxonomy places the organism in Eukaryota, Metazoa, Chordata, Aves, Galliformes, Phasianidae.
UUGGUCUCAGCCCUGCUUCUGAUUUUGUUUUCAGGGUGGACUUGGUUGUAUCUUGUCAAUGACUUCUUUCCAGCCCAGUCUCACGGAUGUACCUUAGAUUCCUGCUUUUGCUAUGCCUCUGGUAUUGCUUGUGCAAAAAUGCUCCUAUGUGUGUUCUUUAGAUGGCUCAUGGUCUCCAUUUGUCACCUUGUGUUACCUGGAGCUGUGGAGUUUCUUAGCACCCAGCUUGCUUUCUCUUAUGGAAAGCCUGACUCUUAUUGAUCUUUUGACAAGCUCCAUCAAAGAGGGAGCAAGGGAUAAAGACCAUCCUUCCUGUCUGCAGUGAGGAAGAGAUGUAUUCAGCAGUAUUCAUCACAGAAGACGAACAGAAGCACAUCAUGGAACUACCUGUGGCUUUCUCAUCUCUCAGGAGACUCCAGCAGGGAAUGAUCUGUCUCACAGACUUGAACCCUCACAGUUUUCCCUGGUUUCCUGAAGAAGCAGUAUUUGCAGCAGUAAAUAUGAAAAGAUCAGAGAGGCACUCCUAGUAAUUUACCCAGAUUAAAGAGUGGAGCAAGAACUGACCCUUCAUUAGGUAUCAAAGCAUGCUCUUGGGAGGGCAGCUGGAAGACACAAGUCUGCAGAAUUACCAUCUUCUUUUGAUCUGCUGCUCAUAAGAUGACACGUUAUUCUUCCCUGUGCACACAAAGACAAAGGUGGAAAUCACAGAAAGCAAAUUGCCGGUUUUGAAGCCGAAUUCCUCAUCCCAGGCCUGGAAUAUGUAUGGAAAAAUAUUUCCAGAGAUUCUCCUGUUAUAAAUAACCUGGAGGAGGUGAAGGACUCUGCAAAGCAUGCUGCAAAAAGGAUGGAGAAAGAGUUCAUCUCUUGGAGAGAAAAAAAGAAUCUUCAUCUUAAAGCUGAUGUUUGUAGUGUGUGCUCAGGGUGAGUCACAUGAGAGGCAAAUUGAGAUAAGAGCAGAGUCCUGAAAGAAAAUGACUGAUUUUAAUCUCUGUUUCCCUGCUUACAGGGUCUUGGCUGCAGAAAUUAAAAAGCUGUGCUUCCCUGUAAUAUCACCCUGUUAAAUGGUGUAUCAUCAUCAGCUCCCAAUAUUUUUUUGCCUAUGCUCUCCAUGUAUGUUGUGCAUAUAUUUAUACACAUAUGUACAUAUAUAAAGCUUCUCUGUGGCUUUUUCUUAAUGGGUUGCUUAUAGUGUGUGCUGUACAGUCAGCUUCUCACAGCCCUCCUGCAGCUGUCAGAGCCACACCAAAUCUCAUCUUUAGCCAUAGCAUCUUCUGAACAGUCACACACGAACUUUUACUGGGUUUAUGUAGUUACAUCUGAAUAUCACUAGAUGUCCUCUACUGCUAAGUAGCUUUACCUCAGUCCAUGCCAAGCACCACACAGAAAUUCAGUGAAAUGAACCUCAGCUGUUGAAGCUGUGUAUUUAUAGUUCAAUAGUUCCCAGUCCAUAGAUGCACAAUGAUGUUCCUCAUCCAUAGCCUGAAGGAGUGCUCUAAUACCUCUUACCAACUGGAGUUGCAGUGUGAUUUAGAAAGGUGUUGGUUUCACACAGACUUGAAGCCAUCUGACACGUCGUAGGUACACUUCAACUAUCUCCUUUGCUGCUCAUCUGAGACAACCAUCAGGUAGGGCUCUGCCUUUGGUCUCCUUGGGCCCAUCUCCACAUUUAACACCCAAGGUCCACUCUCCGCCUUCUCUGCUGCAACCACUUACACCUUUAACAAUGAACAAUAAACAGUCACGCUGUUUAUUUAGCCCUAGUAGUGAAAUGUUACACUACCUAGACAAUACAUUCCCUUAGAGACAGUAGGUCUGAGGUACAGCCUGACCUGAACAGUUCAGAGACUGUAUGUCACUUUAAUGCUAUUGAGUGAUGUUGAACCAGGCUGGAAAUCUUGCCUGAAGUUGUAUGGGGAAAAUGUGGGCUCAUAUUUUAAGGUGCUUUUUUUUUUCUUUGAGUUUUCUAUAAAGUUUGAAGUUUUGCCCAAUCUGCACUUGCAUCCUCCCAGGGUGGGCUCUUCCUGACAGUGUGUCUGCUGUCAAACCAA